Molecule: long non-coding RNA, 6112 nt
Organism: Marmota monax (woodchuck)
Lineage: Eukaryota; Metazoa; Chordata; Mammalia; Rodentia; Sciuridae
Exons: 2
Source: RefSeq, a predicted model, not a curated record
CGGUGGGCGCGCGCGGCUGGGCCACUGGGUCCGGGUCCGGAGGCUGCAGGCUCCUUCCGGACCAGCUCCCGAGGCUGUCUGACAACCUGUCGACAUGGGUUUACAGCUGUCUGACACCCAGUUUUGCAGCUGAGGUGUGUCCCUUUUUUUAACAAAAACAACUCAGCAACUGCUUUUCUACCGUUAGGGAGGCGGGGCAGAGGCCCGCAGUGCUCAGCCCGGUCGAGGGUGACAGCCAACCUCCAGCGGCCUCUCUCAGAGACUGGAGCUGCCUUUCCUCCCCGGGACAUCUUUGGUAGAAGUGCACCCGGGAGUCCUCCGUGCGCCAGUAAACCCGCGUGACGAGACACCUCCAUGCAAGACGCGGCGUCCCAGUGGCCGUACUAGACUCGCUGGAAGAGACAAGCCGACCCAGCCGGCCGCAGCAAGCUUGGGAGUGGCUGUGGGUCUCCUGGCCUGGCUGCACCGCUAGAAGCUGAAUGCAGGGUCCUCCUCGCCUCCGCGUGCCAUGGAAGGCCCCUCGGGCAGGUCACUUUCGAGCUAUUCUCGAUGGCUUUGGUCCAAGUGCCGCGGGACCAAGAGUGUCCAGGUACCAAAUCCUGUUCCUGGGGCCACUUUGCGCUCCACUCUCUGCAAGGCGGCAAGAUUCGGAGUGCACUCCCGCCCCCACCCCCAGGUUGCUGCAUGCUGGAUCCCGCACGGAGUUUCACUUGUUACUGGGGACUGGGCCUAGGCUUAGGCAGCUGGGGGCUGCCGGAUGAAUCUAGCCCCAAGACCCCGCCCAUCCUCUAUGUAUUGUUGGUUAGCAGAGCCCCAGGACCCCGUACUCAGGUCCGACCCCCAGCUCCUCCUCCCCCUGGAGACUUAUGAGAUGUGCAGUGCCUCCAGGCCCCUGGGAAUUCUACAGCCUCAGGAAGGCUCCAUUUCCCGGACCUGAGAACACUAAGCUACCGCCUAUAAUUAGACACAAUAAGGCCCAUAAUAGUAAUUACUAAUUACCCGCUCCAAAAUCAGGCAUAAUUUUUCUGCUCUGAGUUAGGUCUUCCUGUUCAGCUCCCCCCACCCCACCCUCCCACACACAACCUGUCCCUACACACUUCAGACACCUCCAGGCCUACCUCUAGCACCGGAUUCUGGGUGGCCAGCAGUUGGCACUGGGUUCUGCAGCUCUGGGAAGUCCUUAACUGCAGGUUCCUCCUAAUCACCAGUCCAUCCCCUCACUUCCAACUCAGAGCUAGAUCUCUUAUUCCCAUUCCCCAUUCCCAUACCCAAAGCAAAUCCGAAGGAUACAGAUGAAUCAUUCUGUGAGAAAUGGGCCAGCUAUACCACUGUUCUGGUUUAGCAAAGCCUCAGUGUCACAUUUCAAGGCCACAGUUAAAUACAGGUGAGAUAAGCCCUCCUGGAGAAUGAGGUGGAAUGUAAGUCCAGAAACACUUCCCAGUGCUAGGAUUUGACUGCAUGGAUUGAUUACCUUCUUCCUACCUGCUCAUCACAGCUUCCCACCCUGGUUGCUGGUCUCAGGUUGCCACACUUCUAACCAUUAUAACCUUCAAGGGAGGGAACUGGAAAGGAGCAGUAGGGGCUUUGUCCUGACCCUCAACCAGUCUGACAGAGCCACCAUUCUAUGCUAUGGGUAUAUCAUCUACAUUGGGCAUCCAAAGCAGGUAAACUCUUGAAGACAUCAGCAAGGUAAGUGGGAGACCUUGGCUGGGCCCUGCUUGAAAUGUUCCCUGGGAACACCAUCUAGCACUACUUGGCAAGGUCUGCAGAUUUGCACCCAGGGAUUUCCUGAGAAAGGUGCUGAAGUGUUGAUUGUGGACCAUUUUCUGCCCAAGAAUCAGAGAUGGGCUGCACCCCAGACCUCUGAGCUUCAAUCCAUUUCCAGGAGGUGCCAGCAGAACCUUGUGGGCUCUCUUAUUUCUCUUUGCAACUAGCCACAGAGAGAGAAAUAGGGAAAUAAAGGGAAAGAAAAUUGCCUUCAAAUUCUCUAAUUGGAGAGGGGGCUGGGAGAUGAGCAGAAAAACCUCCUGGCUCAGCAGGCUCAGGACACCCCCCCCCAAACACACACACACACACACACACACACACACACACACACCAUAGCAUGGAAUAGUGUACCAAGCCCCAGAGCUUGGUGGCCUCUGGUGUCCAAACUAGGAGAACACAGUGUCUGGUAGCCAUUGGCCUAACUUGAAUACCUUUAAAAGGGGUUCAGAUCUUCCCCCAAGGAAGUCAGCCAGUUCAGUCUCUCUGGGAGAGAGAACAGGGAAGGAGGAGCAGAGAAGAGGGAAGCCAGGAUCUGCUGGUGCUUCCAGCCCGUGCAGCAGGUGGGAGGAUUUGGGGGCUAUUGUGUGGGGCAAGUGUUGAAAACCAGUAUCAGCAGUGCUGUGCUGGAUUGGAAAUAGGGAGAUCAGUUUCGUGACCCUCAGAUGCUGUCCCUAGCUCCUGAAGGGUGACUCAGGCAGGGACCCUCAUAGGAGGCUGCUCCUGGCUAGAGAAGACCUGUUCUGUAGCUGCUGCAUCUCUAACCUGCCACAAGCAGAGCCAAAACCUUCAGUCAGACAGACCUAGGGGUCGCUGCGGUGGGAUCCCAGCUCUGCCGGUUGACCUCCAGGGCCAGGUCUGGGAGUCUGUGUGCCUUGCGACACAGUGUGAAGCUCUGCAAAGUCCUGACUCCCAAACAGGGAAGUCAGGACCCUGGGUGCACCCCUGCCCAGGGCUAGCAUGGGACUUUGGGUGUUUAUGCAGAGCAUUCUCUUAGGACUUGGCACCAGAGGGCCUAGAACAGGCCUCCCCGUGGAGUGGGGGAGGUAAAGUGGUUGGGGGCAGUUGGCUAACAAUGCACCUUUGAGCCAAGUUGAUUUUUAAUGUUUUUAAAACUUAAUGAGAGGUUUACUUGUUUGUUUUGUGCCGUUUUCCAAGUGAGAGGAAACUGCUAUCCCUGCUUGGAAGAUCAGGUCUCCUUUUCCUCUUCCCAACCCUUCAGCACUGUUGCAUGGAGCUUUUUACUUAGGACGAGAUUAGACAAACCCAAGGGCGUCCUCAUUACAACUUCAUUGCUUAAGGAAUAAUUUUCCAUUGCUUUUGAGGCUCUGCCUUCCCAGAGUCUCUGGCACAGAAGGGGAGGUCCAUGAGAGGAUGGAUUCCCUCUGGAGCAGUCUUUGGAAAUGGCCUCUGGCGCCAGUACCUGGCAGCGCAGACCAGUCAGGGAGAUGCGCAGAGGAGCCUCUGCCCUGGCCUCCGGCCUUUCAAAAUGGCCAUUCUUUGCUCUAGGGAUGGCGGGGCUCCUGAGCGGUGCAGUGGCUAAGUGUUGGGGUUGGGUGGCCUGACCCGGGAUGUAUCACAUGGACCUCAAUCAGGCCCUCAAAGAGUGCGCCCUGAUUUAAGAGUCAAAGUAAACACUGUUUAGGACUCUGCAGACUCUUGGAUGCCUUUCACUGGGUGACAGCGAGGGGAGCAUUAGACAGUUCAGGGAAAGAGGCUGAGACCCUCUGCUGGAACCCCCUCACAGGUGGACCCCAGUUCCCCAUAUGGUGUGGUGUCUGCAGCAGCAACCCACGGUCCCCCAGGCCCCACCCCUGGGUGCCGGGCCUGCGUGCUCCUGCUGCGCCAAGCUGGGACCUCUCAGGUCCGGGGACUCCCCUGGUGACCCCAGACCAAAGUCCCAGGCUGAGUGCGUCCUGAGAGUGCGGGGCUGCCGGACCGGCGGCCGCCGAUCCUGCACCGCUGAAGGAGCCCAAUCAGGCUGGCGAUUAGAGUGGCGGCGGGUGACUCCAGGGAGAUCCUGGAAGGAAGCGCCAGGGAGCUUCGGAGGGCAGAGAUCGAGGGCCGCUGUACACCGCCCGCAUCCUGGUCGGAGCGGCGCAGAGCGACCUGGCUGGAGUGGGGCGACCGGGAAAGCUGCGGGCCAGCGCUGCCAGACGGAAGCCUCCGGAGCCGGGCCGAGUUUCCCACGGAGAAAGGGCAGAGGAAUGGCCCACAGAGGCCGGCCUUGAGUGCCAUGAUGUCGCGGUCCCCGAGCAUCGGAGAAAGUGAAUUACAUGCGUGUGCACACACGUAAAUAUUUUAUAAAUCUCCUGGUAAUUAACCAGAUCAUCUCCAUUAUGCCUCCAAUAUGAUCAACAGCGACGGUGUGAGGGCUUUCAGGGUUUAUAAUUUGAUGUCACCAGACGGCUGCUCGGGGGCAGAGGCACAAUCGCCGCGCCAGCUGCACUUGUAUUUAUUUGUUUUUCUGCUGUGUUCCUGUAGGGCUCCAUUAUGCAGUUUUUAAUUAGUUUGUGUUUGUAUUUCACCCGUCCCAAAUCAAUGCCAUCCCGGAGCAAGGCCAUGUAAAUUCCUGCAGUACAGGUGUCGCUGCCUGUUCCGUACACUGGCAAACGCGUGUCUGACAAAUGAAAGCGAGCUGCCACGCCGACUGGCAGCUCCCGGCAGCCAGAGCCGCAGAUCAAAGCCAGCGGGGACUUCUGCGCCCAGGAGCGCCAUAGCGGAUGCUGCUUCUAAUGCCAUUGGAGGAAGUCGGGCAGAGCGAGUUGGGGACCAGGUGACUUUUCGUUCUCCUUAAACCCUGGCUGUCCCAGGGUCAGCGCUGGUCCUGGGCCCCCAUUCCUGUUAGGGCAUGCAGCCCCGGGAGCUUGGUGUGGUGAUAUUCACUGGCGGGUGACCUAGAGCUACCGAAGAUCCCUGUGACUUCCUGCCUGCUUCCAGUCACAUUAACCAGAGCAAAGAUGAGCGUACUCCGACUUUUCUAGGCUUGCGACGCAGCCCCACCCUUGUUGUGCAGUCUCUUCCUUCUUGAAACGACCUCUGUGGAGUGCGUGUAAAUCUUUUCUUCCAGCCACUGGGGAAUUCUCUUAAAGCUUUCUUUUUUGUUGGGAAUAAGAGAUUGCUCAUCUUUAACUAGGCCACAUAGAAAUUAUGAUUCAACAGCAGUGUAUAUUUAAUUAGAGUAAUCUCACUUGAAUUUAAUUACCUAAUGAAUUAUUUGUUUAAAAGGUAGAAGGUCUUGUUUGCCAAGUACCAGGCAGACCUCUGAUAAGAACUUCUGUUAUAAGGAUGUUCCAGUUUAAAAGCAGGCAUGUCUAAAAUUGAUAUCUUAACUCUCUGGAUAGGCAAUAUCACUGCACUGCUCAGACCAAAACCAUGGUCAGGGGAAGAUGUCAGGAGUGGGCUGGGGGUGGUGACACCAUUCCAGCCACACAGAGGUUCUCUUCUUUCCCUUUGCAAAGUAGUGUCCUCUGACUUUUUUUUUUUUUUUGUCUUGUAAGUUCAGUUUAUUUUAAAAACUUAACUAAUGUUGCUUUCAGUGUUUUUUUUUCUUUUUUUCCUUCUAGAGCAAGAUAAGACUGCUGUCUGUUAGAGGACUUAUGAUUAGUAUUUAUGCCUGGGGUAUCCACACUGGUUUCUGGAAGUCCGUCUGAUGCAUAUCAAAUUUUACUGACCCAAAAGUUGACCUUAACCUUUAACUCCUAAAGUUUGGAACAACUCCACAUUCUCUUGUUUCCAAAAGCAAGUGAAAACUGUGCCUGAACAUGCCAUCCUUCCCAGGAGGCUCCCGAGUUGUCCCUAGGUAAUGCCAGCAGCUGUUGCACCUAAUCAUAGGGACCUGGCUGAGGGAGAGUGAUCCUGACUGGAGCUCCCAUCCUGUUUCCCACUGUCCUGGCCAGCUGCUGCAGAAGCAGACGACUUCAUUUCUUUCUCCAUCCCUGUGUGAGGGAGACUCAGCCGGGAAAUGCAUAUAGGGGGCCCAGGUCUCACUGAAAAGAGGAAAUAAGAACAUCUCAAAUCAACAUGACUGAAUUUCACUGUAAUUUCCGUUGCCAUUUUAUUCAUUGGUUUGCAGGCAUGGGCACUUAUCAUGUAAAUGUUAAAUAUUACAAAUAUUAUGUCCAACAAAGUAGGAAUGAGCCUAUAGAAAAAUACCACAGUUGAAAAGAAUUAUUAAUUUUUGGUUCCUUUUUACAAUCUGUGAUUUAUAGCAUAGCUGUGCAUUUUGAAAUUGAUGCUCCAACAAUCAAGACUGGUUAAAUUAUAAACUCAAUCACAUUCAAUUAUGGUCACAGAAGUAUAUUUCUUCCAAAGAAACAGAUUUACAUGAAUACAUUUUUAAAGCUUA